UGGGUGAGAGUGGCGAACGGGUGAGUAAUGCGUGACCGACCUGCCCCAUACACCGGAAUAGCUCCUGGAAACGGGUGGUAAUGCCGGAUGCUCCAGUUGACCGCAUGGUCCUCUGGGAAAGCUUUUGCGGUAUGGGAUGGGGUCGCGUCCUAUCAGCUUGAUGGCGGGGUAACGGCCCACCAUGGCUUCGACGGGUAGCCGGCCUGAGAGGGCGACCGGCCACAUUGGGACUGAGAUACGGCCCAGACUCC
RNAcentral lists this ribosomal RNA (251 nucleotides) under uncultured Bifidobacterium sp. Its description in RNAcentral is "partial 16S ribosomal RNA". It matches the Rfam family "Bacterial small subunit ribosomal RNA", at positions 86 to 339 of the family's 1533-position model. Lineage: Bacteria; Bacillati; Actinomycetota; Actinomycetes; Bifidobacteriales; Bifidobacteriaceae. The record is from RNAcentral.